This 159-nucleotide ribosomal RNA is filed under the name Sarcopodium araliae. RNAcentral's name for it is "5.8S ribosomal RNA". It matches the Rfam family "5.8S ribosomal RNA". Rfam says of the family: 5.8S ribosomal RNA (5.8S rRNA) is a component of the large subunit of the eukaryotic ribosome. It is transcribed by RNA polymerase I as part of the 45S precursor that also contains 18S and 28S rRNA. Functionally, it is thought that 5.8S rRNA may be involved in ribosome translocation. The record is from RNAcentral. Lineage: Eukaryota; Fungi; Ascomycota; Sordariomycetes; Hypocreales; Nectriaceae.
AACUUUCAACAACGGAUCUCUUGGUUCUGGCAUCGAUGAAGAACGCAGCGAAAUGCGAUAAGUAAUGUGAAUUGCAGAAUUCAGUGAAUCAUCGAAUCUUUGAACGCACAUUGCGCCCGCGAGUAUUCUCGCGGGCAUGCCUGUUCGAGCGUCAUUUCA